This 715-nucleotide ribosomal RNA is filed under the name uncultured bacterium. Its description in RNAcentral is "bacterial SSU rRNA". It matches the Rfam family "Bacterial small subunit ribosomal RNA", at positions 54 to 745 of the family's 1533-position model. The record is from RNAcentral.
CAUGCAAGUCGAGCGCGAACGGGGACUUCGGUUCCUUAGUAGAGCGGCGAACGGGUGAGUAACACGUGGGUAAUCUGCCUCCGGGUGGGGAAUAACUCAGGGAAACUUGAGCUAAUUCCGCAUAACGUGGCCGACCAUAAGAUCGGCUACCAAAGCUGGGGAUCCUUCGGGACCUGGCGCCUGGGGAGGAGCCCGCGGCCAAUUAGCUUGUUGGUGAGGUAAUGGCCCACCAAGGCUCCGAUUGGUAGCCGGCCUGAGAGGGCGGACGGUCACACUGGAACUGAGACACGGUCCAGACUCCUACGGGAGGCAGCAGUGAGGAAUUUUCGUCAAUGGGGGAAACCCUGAACGAGCAACGCCGCGUGGAGGACGAAGACCUUCGGGUUGUAAACUCCUGUCGGACGGGACGAAAGCUAUCGAGGUUAAUACCCUUGGUAGUUGACGGUACCGUACGAGGAAGCCCCGGCUAACUUCGUGCCAGCAGCCGCGGUAAUACGAGGGGGGCAAGCGUUGUUCGGAAUUACUGGGCGUAAAGGGCGCGUAGGCGGUUUGGCAAGUCUUCCGUGAAAGCCCACGGCUCAACCGUGGAACAGCGGGGGAAACUGCCAGACUUGAGUCCGGGAGGGGGGAGUGGAAUUCCCAGUGUAGCGGUGAAAUGCGCAGAUAUUGGGAGGAACACCGGAGGCGAAGGCGUCUCCCUGGACCGGUACUGACG